This 508-nucleotide ribosomal RNA is filed under the name uncultured bacterium. RNAcentral's name for it is "bacterial SSU rRNA". It matches the Rfam family "Bacterial small subunit ribosomal RNA", at positions 26 to 518 of the family's 1533-position model. The record is from RNAcentral.
AGGACGAACGCUGGCGGCGUGCCUAAUACAUGCAAGUAGAACGCUGAAGACUUAGCUUGCUAAAGUGGAAGAGUUGCGAACGGGUGAGUAACGCGUAGGUAACCUGCCUACUAGCGGGGGAUAACUAUUGGAAACGAUAGCUAAUACCGCAUAACAGCAUUUAACACAUGUUAGAUGCUUGAAAGGAGCAAUUGCUUCACUAGUAGAUGGACCUGCGUUGUAUUAGCUAGUUGGUGAGGUAACGGCUCACCAAGGCGACGAUACAUAGCCGACCUGAGAGGGUGAUCGGCCACACUGGGACUGAGACACGGCCCAGACUCCUACGGGAGGCAGCAGUAGGGAAUCUUCGGCAAUGGGGGCAACCCUGACCGAGCAACGCCGCGUGAGUGAAGAAGGUUUUCGGAUCGUAAAGCUCUGUUGUAAGAGAAGAACGUGUGUGAGAGUGGAAAGUUCACACAGUGACGGUAACUUACCAGAAAGGGACGGCUAACUACGUGCCAGCCGCUGC